UGGGUUCAGCAACAUAAUCCAGAAAGCGGCGAGGAAGCUGUGACCCUGUUGGAGGAUUUAGAGAGGGAGUUUGAUGACCCAGUGCAGCAGGUGGGAACAGAGAAAAGUGAUGUGGGAAAAGGAAUUUGCAGCCUGGCGCAUGUAAUGGUAUCGUAACAGUCCCAGCUAGUCCACAGGGACCAGCAGUGCCAUGGAAGGAUUUAACAUGUCUCAGAGCAUCCCAAGAGUCAACAGACAUCCACCUC
RNAcentral lists this small RNA (245 nucleotides) under Pongo abelii (Sumatran orangutan). RNAcentral's name for it is "processed transcript". The record is from RNAcentral. Lineage: Eukaryota; Metazoa; Chordata; Mammalia; Primates; Hominidae.